GAUUAACGCUAGCGGCAGGCCUAAUACAUGCAAGUCGAACGGCAGCACGGGUAGCAAUAUCUGGUGGCGAGUGGCGCACGGGUGCGUAACGCGUAUGCAAUCUACCUAUAACUGGGGAAUAGCCUUCCGAAAGGAAGAUUAAUACCGCAUAAAAUCACGAGGCGGCAUCGUUUUGUGAUCAAAACUCCGGUGGUUAUAGAUGAGCAUGCGUGACAUUAGCUAGUUGGUGAGGUAACGGCCCACCAAGGCUACGAUGUCUAGGGGGUCUGAGAGGAUGAUCCCCCACACUGGUACUGAGACACGGACCAGACUCCUACGGGAGGCAG
This 326-nucleotide ribosomal RNA is filed under the name uncultured Bacteroidota bacterium. Its description in RNAcentral is "bacterial SSU rRNA". It matches the Rfam family "Bacterial small subunit ribosomal RNA", at positions 28 to 351 of the family's 1533-position model. The record is from RNAcentral. Lineage: Bacteria; Pseudomonadati; Bacteroidota.